RNAcentral lists this ribosomal RNA (208 nucleotides) under Acremonium sp. f35. Its description in RNAcentral is "partial 28S ribosomal RNA". The record is from RNAcentral. Lineage: Eukaryota; Fungi; Ascomycota; Sordariomycetes; Hypocreales; Bionectriaceae.
GACCAGACUUGGGCUCGGUGAAUCAUCCGGCGUUCUCGCCGGUGCACUUUGCCGUCCCAGGCCAGCAUCAGUUCGCGCCGGGGGAUAAAGGUUUCGGGAAUGUAGCUCCUUCGGGAGUGUUAUAGCCCGUUGCGUAAUACCCUGGCGUGGACUGAGGUCCGCGCUCUGCAAGGAUGCUGGCGUAAUGGUCAUCAGUGACCCGUCUUGA